GGGGAUGUGGCGGAACUGGUAGACGCGCUAGCUUCAGGAGCUAGUUCUCGCAAGGGAGUGGGAGUUCGAUUCUCCCCAUCCCCA
Molecule: transfer RNA, 84 nt
Filed under: Candidatus Magasanikbacteria bacterium RIFCSPHIGHO2_02_FULL_47_14
Lineage: Bacteria; Candidatus Magasanikiibacteriota
Description: tRNA-Leu
Rfam family: tRNA
About the family: Transfer RNA (tRNA) molecules are approximately 80 nucleotides in length. Their secondary structure includes four short double-helical elements and three loops (D, anti-codon, and T loops).
Source: RNAcentral